Molecule: long non-coding RNA, 1582 nt
Organism: Coturnix japonica (Japanese quail)
Lineage: Eukaryota; Metazoa; Chordata; Aves; Galliformes; Phasianidae
Source: Ensembl
UGCUCCUUUGCUGCCAGUUAUUGGCUGCAAGGCAGAGGAUGGCUAGCUGCAGUAUGGGGAGGGGAGCAAAGCACUGACACGCAAAGGGAAGCGCAGCUGCUUGAAACUCGCUGUUUAUGAAGCAGAACUUUCCCUGCAAAACAGCAGCAGAUUUGCUCCCUUUAUGCUCCUGGCAGAGCUGGAUGGGGAAAUGGGGUCAUAUAGGAACAGCCCCAUCCUGAAGCCGAGCUCUGAGCGCAGCAGAUACGAGGAGCAAAGGGAGAGAUGGCGAAACCCAAAGCAACGUGGGGUGCUCAGCUCAUUGCUGAGCUGCUCUGGCUUUGCUGGGGUGCAAUAAGACAAGCAGGCGCUGUGGCUGCAGGGCUGCAGUGCUACCCGUGCUGCAGUGCUGCUCUACUGCUGUAUUGCUGUGCUGCAGUGCUGCUCAUGCUGCAGUUUGUUGCCUGUUACUGCAGUUAUUGCUGUGCUGCAGUGCUGCUGUGCUACUUCAUGCUGCCCAGUGCAUGCUGUACUUGCAGUGGUGCCGUGCUGCUCAUGCUGCAGUGUUGCAGCUGCUGCAGCUCACCCUGCUCCAUCUCAUCCCCUCCACACAUCUCAGCUCAGCUCAGCCCCCGCAGCCGCUGCCACGACGCAGCACAGGUCGAUCCACCCCAUUGAUACAGGUCAGUCCGCCCCAUUGAUACAGGUCAGUCCACCCCAUUGAUACAGGUCUGUCCACCCCAUUGAUACAGGUCUGUCCAUGCCAUUGAGGAUGUUGUGUUCAUUUUGCAGCACCAGCUGCAGCCCCAUGCGAUGCAUGUUGGGUUCAUCUUGCAGCCUGCAGCCCCGUGCGAUGCAUGUUGGGUUCAUCUUGCAGCACCAGCUGCAGCCCCGUGCGAUGCAUGUUGGGUUCAUCUUGCAGCACCAGCUGCAGCUCCAUGCGAUGCAUGUUGGGUUCAUCUUGCAGCACCAGCUGCAGCCCCAUGCGAUGCAUGUUAGGUUCAUCUUGCAGCCUGCAGCUCUGUGCAAUGCAGCCCGGCCUCCUCCCAGCUGGGAGCUGCUGCUGCUGCUGCUGCUGGUGGGGGAUGCAUGUGCAGCACAGCAGGACGGGCUGCACCUCCUGCUCCUGCUGCUCCUGCUGCUCCUGCUGCACAGCUGCGUCCCACUGCGGCUUCCUGCCCUGCACACACACACACACACACACACACACACACACACACGUGAUGGAGCAGCAGCAGGGGCAGGAAGGCGGCGGUUCCUAUUUCCUCACAUUGUAGGCGAGUUUUUUUUGCUGCUUUGUUGUUAUUUUGGUUUAAUUUCUUUCCUUUCUGAGCCUCGCGAGGCCGACGCGACGCGAUGGAGCAACAGAGCAAACAACGCAGUCAGAACAUCCCAAUGCGUGGGGGUGCAGAGCAAAGGGAGCAGAGCAAACAAUGCAAAGUCAUUGCAACACAUGGGGGUGCAGAGCAAAAGGAGCAGAGCAAACAGCUCCAAGAACAGAGCAAAUAAUGCANNCAAACUCAUCCCAACACAUGGGGGUGCAGAGCAAACGGAGCAGAGCAAACAACGCAAAGUCAUUGCAACACAUGGGGGUGCAGAGCAA